ACCAGUGUGAUGACAAAGUGGAUGCUGUUACUAAAUGUGAAAUAACACGUCAUCCAGAGGUUUUGGUGCUGCUGCUGAAGAGGUUUGACUUUGACUACCAUUACAUGAGAUAUGUGAAAAACAACCGUCUUGUGGGUAUUCCCUGCACACUACACAUCCCACAGGGUCAGACAUAUGAACUGUAUGCAGUUGUGGAUCACAGAGGUGAUCUUAGAAGUGGACAUUACAGUGCAA
This is a long non-coding RNA of Monopterus albus (swamp eel), 234 nucleotides long. RefSeq lists it as uncharacterized. The transcript is spliced from 3 exons. NCBI's taxonomy places the organism in Eukaryota, Metazoa, Chordata, Actinopteri, Synbranchiformes, Synbranchidae. The record is from RefSeq and is a predicted model, not a curated record.